Molecule: RNA transcript, 3543 nt
Organism: Cydia pomonella (codling moth)
Lineage: Eukaryota; Metazoa; Arthropoda; Insecta; Lepidoptera; Tortricidae
Exons: 4
Source: RefSeq, a predicted model, not a curated record
GUAAGUAAGUAAAGUACAAUAUUAUCGCAUCAAAAACAUAAUUAUGAAAUGAGAUUCAAGUUCAAUAUUAAGAAUGUGCGUCGUUGUUAACUUCACUGGCAAAAGAGUUAACAUAUAGCUGCUAAGUUCUAGUUUAUUGGGAUGUAAUUAAAGUUCAGGAUUUGAGACAUCAGAGUCAACAACGACGCAAUCAUUUCAUAUUUGUUUUUGUUGGGAUAUCAUUACUUCUUUUACAGAAAUUAUUAGUAUUCAUCAUAGUUGAUUUCGAAACUAAAAUGUAUUUCUGCUAAGUAUUACAAAUUCGAUAUGAGCUUAGUGGGUAAGUAAAUAAAAACUGUUUUUUGAAAUAUAUUACAAAUCGUAAUAAAAUCACUGUUUAAAGAAACAUAAAGAUGUUAGGUUCGUUACCACACAAUUUUCCAGCUGGAUGCCAAAUUUCAACUUGCUAGGUUAUCUGGAAGUGGGUUAGGUUUUUUAUGUUAGGUCAGUCAGUCGAUGAGAAUAAUCCCGCUUAUUAGAUGUUUGCAUCUCAAUAAUCGGUAGAGCCUUCUCAUCCUCAUCUUCUUUCGAACUUGGCUUGACACACUCCCGCGUGUCGACAUUAUUUUUUCUAUUAUUUAAGUACCUAUUAUAUUUUAUUGUGUUUUAACAUAUUAUUGCUGAGUAAAAUUGAAUGAUAAUGAUAAAAAGAUAUCGAUAAAUUGAUAUCAAAGCAUUCUCCGUGACGGAUUAGAUAAAAUCUAAGGUGGAUACUUGCAAUCUACGCUCAAAAUAUAUUGUUGUCGAAAACGAAACUUUGAACUGGUACAGUUUUAAUCCUAUUCGAUAUGUGCGCUGCUAAAAUACGGUUCGGUUUUCUUCUCCAUUUGCGUUACGCAUAUAUUCGCUUUAGAGUAAUUUAAAUGCAAGUAUAAAUAACCACUGUGAUAUUAAAAAUAUUUUUUACAUCACCCAUUCGGAAAAGGGUUUUCCUCCUUGCUAGAGAUCAAAGUGGUAUAUAUCUGUUAGAGAACACAAUUUUUUUUAGCUUAAAUAAUAUAUAUUUUGAAACAUAACAAUUUCCUCUUAGAUGAUGUGAAAAUCAGAUGUCACGUGGUAUCAAAAUGAUUUCCACUUCGGGCGUUAACACUUUAAUCCCUCACUAGGCUCAAGAUAGAAUCCUUCGAUUCGUUCAAAAUUCAAUAUACGCCCUCGCCGCAAAUAUGUCAUUUUGCUUCUUUGUGACACUAUCUGCUAGUAUUGCAGCCAUACCUAUUCUAAAACGUAAAUUUGCCACAGUUCGCGUAUGGCCGAUUUUAAUUUUGUCGUAGUCAUCGUAGAUUUACUUUAGCUCCUAUUUACCCACCCAUAAAUCUACCCACUAGGAAGAUAAAACAAGUACCUUAAGUGCAUAAGGACAAACAAUUUUUAAACGUAUGACAAUCUUUAUAGACCUGAUGAUAAUAAGCACCAACUGUAUUAUAUUAUUAUACUCUAUAAUUAAGACAUAAAAUUGAGAAUAGCUUACUUUCAGCACCUGUAAUCGAUAUUUAUUACUUAUAAUUGGAUAAUUCUUAAGACCCUUAAUCCCCUACGAUAAAUAACCCCCUACUAGAAGCAAUCAAUAAUCUUUUUAAGAUUAUUCCCUUUUUAAUGUUUGAUUGAACAAACGUGUGUAUUGUUAUAUUAACUUAUACUAUAUAAUACCGUUGAAAAUGUGUGUGUUAAUUAUUUGACGUGCUGUUAUUCGUUUUUUGUUAAUAACGUUAUUUAUCAUUUAUAUAAUGAACGUGGAAGAAGCACCGGCAAACCUUAGAUUUAACUAUUAUGAAAAUGCAAAUACUCGUAGUAAUCUGCACGAAUUUUCGAUUUAUUUAAUUUUAGCAGUGUUAAUGAUUUUGCUUGUUGUAUUACUGGCAAUUAUAACUCGAGUCAUACAAAUAGGGCAGAAAACGCGCACGCCACCGCAGAGGAGGAUGUACGUGGGCUCCCGAGUCCGACAGUCAUUGUCUCAAACCGAGCCCACUAUCUACGUCAGCCCCAACAAUUUGCCGCCCCCGCCCAAAUAUGAAUGCCUAGCGCCACCCAGCUACGAAGAAGUAGUGGGCAUCCACUACCCUCAGUACCAGAACCAGCCCAUCACCCAGCCCAUAACUGCCGCCAUGGCGCAAAACACCCUGUCGUCACAGAACGCCACCGACGCGCCGCCCGCGCCGCCCGCUCCGACGGUCAUCACCGUCACGUCAGAGCGGACGCCAGUGCAUGUGCAGGUCGCUGCGUCGUCGUGAUUUCGUUAACGCGUUAUUUUAGUAAUAACGUUAUUUGCCAAUAACGAUUUUAGAAAUCGCGUUGUUUUAUGGUAUAAAAGAGUUAACGUUAUCAUUUUAUUAUCUAACGCUGUGUUUGGAAUACUUUAAUGUAAUUUCUAAAUGCAACUUAAAGCAGUGUUGUAAUUGUCAAUUUUGUUUCUUUUUCACGUAUCUUUGAAUGAACUCCUCUUCUAUAAUCAAUUGUUUUGUUGAAAUGACAAAUAAAAAGUGCAAUAUUAGUAUUAAUUCCACGAACUCAAACACAUUCCAUAUACCAUCGAGUAAUUAUUACCUAUUAACUAAAAUGUAUAUAUUCGAAUAAAAUUUUUAAUCGAUUCAAUAACGAAAUCAGUAUAUUUAACUUUGUGUAGAAAGUUAAAUUUAAACUGUAAUAUUUUUUUAAAUGAUUUGAAAUUUACACGCUUUCAUUACACAAACAUUCCUUGAACAUCGUGCAGUAUUAUGUUAUAUUUUGACCACCUAUUUACUGCUGGACAGUAAAGUAAAUGCACAUAGUAAUUAACAUGAGCAUGAGAUUUUCAUAGUCGAUACAUUGUGAUACUAGUGUACCAAAGUUAAAGUUAUUCUAAAUCAAAAGAUCAAGCCAUAGAUAUAACCAAGCGCGACAGAAUACUUCUAAAUAAAUCUACGAGUAUGCAUUAUACUUCCAAAUUAAUUCAUAUAUAUACUGUGUUUGUGUGUGUGUGUGUGUGUGUGUAUUAUAUUGUGUUUUACACGAAGUCAACUUUGACAAGUGACAGUACCAACACUUGUUGUCGCCUUUUUAGCUUACAGCUAAACAAGAUUUGAUCUAAAAAUAUAUUUGCCAUUAUUAUUGGACAAGAGGACAACACAACUAGCAAAACCAGCUAAAAAUUGAAUUAGUCCCUGUAGAAUCGCGGGGUUUCCUGGUAAAUGUACGGCAAAUAAUAUUACCUAUAUAUCUUGUUAAGAAACAAGACAACAUUGCAAAUAGCGGGAACACUGACUUUAUUAUUAAAAAAAUGUUUUUAACAUGAGAUUUAGUUCUCAUGUCAAAAAUAUUUUGUUUGCUUUCCCUGUUCUCUGCCAAAAAAUGCGGACUGUAAAUAUUAUUUCAUAUAAAUUUAUUAGUACCUACCUAUGUGUACUAAUUAUUAUGUAUAAGUAGAGAUGUAAAUGUUUAGGUUAAGAUUUUUAUGUACAUACAUAGACUGUGGGUGAAACUUGACAAAAAAACCAUAUUUAUAAACUUUAAUAAAAUGUUGUUACUAUA